CCGAAAAGAUAGUGAAUUUUGUGCAGUGCCCACACAGAUUGUCUGAUGAAAUGAAAAAGAAGCAGCGCGUCUGCGAAGAAGACUGAUUGUCCCCUUCGUCUAGAGGCCUAGGACACCGCCCUUUCACGGCGGUAACAGGGGUUCGAAUCCCCUAGGGGACGCCACGCUGCAGGAAACGGGUGAAAGGCGUGACCGACGUUUAUUUUUAAGUGGGCUGCAGGCAGCCGAUUUACAAAUAAUGCUCUUUAACAAUCUGGAACAAGCUGAAAAUUUGAAACAAUCAGUACUGUAACCGCGCUAAGGCGGCAGUAUUGAGGAGUCUCUCAAUCACUCCAGUCCGAAGACACCUUCGGGUUGUGA
RNAcentral lists this unclassified non-coding RNA (360 nucleotides) under Xenorhabdus hominickii. RNAcentral's name for it is "16S-23S ribosomal RNA intergenic spacer". The stretch from base 89 to 161 matches the Rfam family "tRNA". Lineage: Bacteria; Pseudomonadati; Pseudomonadota; Gammaproteobacteria; Enterobacterales; Morganellaceae. The record is from RNAcentral.